GACGAACGCUGGCGGCGUGCUUAACACAUGCAAGUCGAACGGAAAGGCCCUGCUUUUGUGGGGUGCUCGAGUGGCGAACGGGUGAGUAACACGUGAGUAACCUGCCCUUGACUUUGGGAUAACUUCAGGAAACUGGGGCUAAUACCGGAUAGGAGCUCCUGCUGCAUGGUGGGGGUUGGAAAGUUUCGGCGGAUGGGGAUGGACUCGCGGCUUAUCAGCUUGUUGGUGGGGUAGUGGCUUACCAAGGCUUUGACGGGUAGCCGGCCUGAGAGGGGGACCGGCCACAUUGGGACUGAGAUACGGCGCAGACUCCUACGGGAGGCAGCAGUGGGGAAUCUUGCACAAUGGGCGGAAGCCUGAGGCGGCAACGCCGCGAGCGGGAUGCCGGCCUUCGGGUUGUAAACCGCUGUCGCCUGUGACGAAGCGUGAGUGACGGUAAUGGGUAAAGAAGCACCGGCUAACUACGUG
RNAcentral lists this ribosomal RNA (468 nucleotides) under uncultured bacterium. RNAcentral's name for it is "partial 16S ribosomal RNA". It matches the Rfam family "Bacterial small subunit ribosomal RNA", at positions 28 to 507 of the family's 1533-position model. The record is from RNAcentral.